GGAAUAUUGGGCAAUGGGCGCAAGCCUGACCCAGCAACGCCGCGUGAGGGAAGAAGGUUUUCGGAUUGUAAACCUCUGUCCUAUGUGACGAAGGAAGUGACGGUAGCAUAGGAGGAAGCCCCGGCUAACUACGUGCCAGCAGCCGCGGUAAUACGUAGGGGGCGAGCGUUGUCCGGAAUUACUGGGCGUAAAGGGUGCGUAGGCGGUCUGGUAAGUUGGAUGUGAAAUACCCGGGCUUAACUUGGGUGCUGCAUCCAAUACUGUCGGACUUGAGUGCAGGAGAGGAAAGCGGAAUUCCUAGUGUAGCGGUGAAAUGCGUAGAUAUUAGGAGGAACACCAGUGGCGAAGGCGGCUUUCUGGACUGUAACUGACGCUGAGGCACGAAAGCGUGGGGAGCAAACA
RNAcentral lists this ribosomal RNA (402 nucleotides) under uncultured bacterium. Its description in RNAcentral is "bacterial SSU rRNA". It matches the Rfam family "Bacterial small subunit ribosomal RNA", at positions 358 to 774 of the family's 1533-position model. The record is from RNAcentral.